Molecule: ribosomal RNA, 462 nt
Filed under: Paenibacillus mobilis
Lineage: Bacteria; Bacillati; Bacillota; Bacilli; Caryophanales; Paenibacillaceae
Description: bacterial SSU rRNA
Source: RNAcentral
UCCUACGGGGGUGGCWGCCAGUAGGGAAUCUUCCGCAAUGGGCGAAAGCCUGACGGAGCAAUGCCGCGUGAGUGAUGAAGGUUUUCGGAUCGUAAAGCUCUGUUGCCAGGGAAGAACGCUUGGGAGAGUAACUGCUCUCAAGGUGACGGUACCUGAGAAGAAAGCCCCGGCUAACUACGUGCCAGCAGCCGCGGUAAUACGUAGGGGGCAAGCGUUGUCCGGAAUUAUUGGGCGUAAAGCGCGCGCAGGCGGUCAUUUAAGUCUGGUGUUUAAUCCCGGGGCUCAACCCCGGAUCGCACUGGAAACUGGGUGACUUGAGUGCAGAAGAGGAGAGUGGAAUUCCACGUGUAGCGGUGAAAUGCGUAGAUAUGUGGAGGAACACCAGUGGCGAAGGCGACUCUCUGGGCUGUAACUGACGCUGAGGCGCGAAAGCGUGGGGAGCAAACAGGAUUAGAUACCCCC